Molecule: ribosomal RNA, 526 nt
Filed under: uncultured bacterium
Lineage: Bacteria
Description: bacterial SSU rRNA
Rfam family: Bacterial small subunit ribosomal RNA
Source: RNAcentral
ACAUCCAGAGAAUUUAGCAGAGAUGCUUUAGUGCCUUCGGGAACUCUGAGACAGGUGCUGCAUGGCUGUCGUCAGCUCGUGUUGUGAAAUGUUGGGUUAAGUCCCGCAACGAGCGCAACCCUUAUCCUUUGUUGCCAGCACGUAAUGGUGGGAAACUCAAAGGAGACUGCCGGUGAUAAACCGGAGGAAGGUGGGAUGACGUCAAGUCAUCAUGGCCCUUACGAGUAGGGCUACACACGUGCUACAAUGGCGCAUACAAAGAGAAGCGACCUCGCGAGAGCAAGCGGACCUCAUAAAGUGCGUCGUAGUCCGGAUUGGAGUCUGCAACUCGACUCCAUGAAGUCGGAAUCGCUAGUAAUCGUAAAUCAGAAUGUUACGGUGAAUACGUUCCCGGGCCUUGUACGCACCGCCCGUCACACCAUGGGAGUGGGUUGCAAAAGAAGUAGAUAGCUUAACCUUCGGGAGGGCGUUUACCACUUUGUGAUUCAUGACUGGGGUGAAGUCGUAACAAGGUAAGCGUAGUGCU